CCCUUAGAUGUUCUGGGCUGCACGCGUGCUACACUGAUAUUGCCAAUAUGUCAUUCUUAUCCGAAAUGGAUUGGGUAAUCAAGUAAUGAAAUUUCAUGCUUGGAAUCGGUAAUUGCAAUUUUAUCGUGAACGAGGAAUUCCUAGUAAGCACUAGUCAUCAGCUAAUGUUGAUUAUGUCCCUGCCCUUUGUACACACCGCCCGUCGCUCCUACCGAUUGAAUGUUCCGGUGAGCUCUUCGGACUGCGCGGUCUGCAGUUUCUGCGUUCCGUGCGGAAAGUUGCGCAAACCUUAACAUUUAGAGGAAGGAGAAGUCGUAACA
RNAcentral lists this ribosomal RNA (320 nucleotides) under uncultured eukaryote. RNAcentral's name for it is "partial 18S ribosomal RNA". It matches the Rfam family "Eukaryotic small subunit ribosomal RNA", at positions 1470 to 1796 of the family's 1831-position model. The record is from RNAcentral.